This 1008-nucleotide ribosomal RNA is filed under the name Goezeella siluri. Its description in RNAcentral is "eukaryotic LSU rRNA". It matches the Rfam family "Eukaryotic large subunit ribosomal RNA", at positions 71 to 630 of the family's 3401-position model. The record is from RNAcentral. Lineage: Eukaryota; Metazoa; Platyhelminthes; Cestoda; Proteocephalidea; Monticelliidae.
AGGAUUCCCCUAGUAACGGCGAGUGAAGAGGGAAAAGCCCAGCACCGAAGCCUGCGCAGGUUUGCUGUUAGGCAAUGUGGUGUUUGGGUCGGCUCGUGGGACCACCACUCCACUCGAAGUCCAGCAUUGAGUAUGGUUACUGGAUUUGGCCCAGAGAGGGUGAAAGGCCCGUACGGUGGAGUAUCAGACAUGUGAGGUGGUUCACCAGGUCGACCUUAGAGUCGGGUUGUUUGGGAAUGCAGCCCAAAGUGGGUGGUAAACUCCAUCCAAGGCUAAAUACAAGCACGAGUCCGAUAGCGAACAAGUACCGUGAGGGAAAGUUGAAAAGUACUCUGAAGAGAGAGUAAACAGUACGUGAAACCGCAUGCAGGUAAACGGGUGGCGUCAAGCUGCAAGCCCGGAGAAUUCAGUCGGCUAGGUUGUUGUGUAUGCGCCUGGCGCAUCCAUCAGUCAGAGUAUGAUUGGGUAGUCCACUAGUAAACAGUGGGCCUGUCCGCAAGGGCAGGAUAUGUGUACCGGGUGGGUGCCGGAGCAUGCUAUCCGUCUAUGGACUGUCUAGCCGGUGCACUUUCUCCGUGGUCAACACCACGACCGGUGGUAUUGCCAGUCUGCUGUGUCCAAGUCGUAUUUGGUAGGUCCUUGUGGCCAACUGAGUGCGAUCACAGGCAAACUCAGUAAACGGCGUGAGGGUGUUUCGGCACUUUCAUGUGUUAUCGGCUACUGGUUGUCAACGGGCCUGCUCUGUGUUUGUUGUGAUCGACAUGGGGUGGUUCGGUGGGACAUGGUGGUAAGAAAAACUGUGCAAGGCACCGGGGUUAUCGGCCUCAAAUGCGUCCUACGUCCACGUUACAAGUGUAGGUGCUGUGUCGCCGCUGCCUGCUCGGUGCUGGGUGUGAUUGGCGUGUUGCCUGCGCAAAGUAGGCCCGCCAAUGGCUCGGUUCGAGGUGGGUAGUUGGUGGCGUUGUCGACGGCGUGGGGCGUGGUGGGCCUAAUAGUCAGUGGUGUAGU